This 253-nucleotide ribosomal RNA is filed under the name uncultured bacterium. RNAcentral's name for it is "partial 16S ribosomal RNA". It matches the Rfam family "Bacterial small subunit ribosomal RNA", at positions 524 to 776 of the family's 1533-position model. The record is from RNAcentral.
UACGUAGGGGGCAAGCGUUAUCCGGAUUUACUGGGUGUAAAGGGAGCGUAGACGGCAGAGCAAGUCUGAAGUGAAAGCCCGCGGCCCAACUGCGGGACUGCUUUGGAAACUGCCCGGCUAGAGUGCUGGAGAGGUAAGCGGAAUUCCUAGUGUAGCGGUGAAAUGCGUAGAUAUAAGGAAGAACACCAGUGGCGAAGGCGGAUGACUGGACGGCAACUGACGGUGAGGCGCGAAAGCGUGGGGAGCAAACAGG